RNAcentral lists this long non-coding RNA (928 nucleotides) under Salvia miltiorrhiza (redroot sage). RNAcentral's name for it is "long non-coding RNA (SMIL_LNC007582)". Lineage: Eukaryota; Viridiplantae; Streptophyta; Magnoliopsida; Lamiales; Lamiaceae. The record is from RNAcentral.
AAAAAGAUAAUAUUCGGAGCAUGACUUUGUGGUGUCCCAUUGUAUUUUGUCCCUUCUCUCCCUGUCGAUACAAUCCACAAAAAAUAAUUUCCCUUCUUCGACAACAUAUCCACAAAAAAUCAGAUUUUAAGAGACAGCAAGAUAAAAUCAAUGGCUGUAUGUAGAUUCAUGAUUCAUCACGCACACCGUUACAGAAUUGAGAUUUAUGUGGAAAGAAUUUACCAACAACUGGUGGGCUUAAGCCAAACCCAAUUAAUUAAUUUUCUGAUUUGAUGGUGGCUAUGGCGGCAUCAAGCUGUUACUUUUCAUAUAAUCAUCAUAACUGCCUAUGCCAAUUCCACAUGAAUCGGGCCGUUGGCACGCUGUCCUUCUGCCGUCAGCUCAGCAGCUGUGGCAGGAUUUCCGGGCUCGGGCUCGGGCUCGUGCUGCACAAGUGGAAGAAGCAGAGAUGGAUGGACCCCCGGACGACGCCGUUCCGGACUGCUCGUCACUGCUCAGUUCUCGAGCUCUUUAUCAGUUGACAUUGGCUUGGAUUCUCUAGGUUAAUUUCUCUCUCUCCAAUUUUUUUGGAGGUGUAGGGUUUUUGGAUUAUUGAUUCUAGUGUUAAACCUUUGAUUAGCUCUGAUUCAGUUGUUCAUUAUUCAAUGACUUUAUUGAUUUAUUCUACUGAGUAAUAUUUGAAAUCGCGAGCGAUUUGAUGCAGUUUCUGUGGUGCGAUUGUGUUAUUGAAGCGAUAUUAUAUGUUUAACCCGUUCGGUUUUUAUUUUGAUUUUUGAAAUUUUGGUUCAUUUAGAUUACUAUAUUGUGAGAUUUGAUGUAUAUUGAUAUAUUUAUUGUGUGAAAUUGAAGAGUAAUUACACCUAUGAUUCAUCACAUUUGCCGUGGGCUGGACCUCUCCCGGGGGAUAUCGCAGAAGUCGAGGCUUACU